This is a long non-coding RNA of Stylophora pistillata, 244 nucleotides long. The record is from RefSeq and is a predicted model, not a curated record. NCBI's taxonomy places the organism in Eukaryota, Metazoa, Cnidaria, Anthozoa, Scleractinia, Pocilloporidae.
CGACUGGUAGCACCACACGAGUUACAAAGAAAGCCGCGAAAUCAGCGUUAAAACGACUGUCAGCGACAAAGCAGCUACGGAUAAAAGCAAAGAGCUCUCAGCUGAAGCUACAGUUGUAAAAUUGAAAGAAGAAGUGAAUAUAUUAAAGACAGAGUCAAUUCCUUUAGCAACAUAUAACCAGCUGUUAGAUGCCAAUCAUACAAUUACAGCUGUCAAAGAUAAAUCAAAAGUUGCCGCUGAUCAA